This 75-nucleotide transfer RNA is filed under the name Alphaproteobacteria bacterium CG1_02_46_17. RNAcentral's name for it is "tRNA-Thr". It matches the Rfam family "tRNA". From Rfam's summary of the family: Transfer RNA (tRNA) molecules are approximately 80 nucleotides in length. RNAcentral also lists the same sequence under 2 other names. The record is from RNAcentral. Lineage: Bacteria; Pseudomonadati; Pseudomonadota; Alphaproteobacteria.
GCCGGCAUAGCACAGUGGUAGUGCAGCGGUUUUGUAAACCGAAGGUCGCGAGUUCAAAUCUUGCUGCCGGCACCA